AGUGAACGCUGGCGGUAGGCCUAACACAUGCAAGUCGAACGGCAGCACAGUAAGAGCUUGCUCUUACGGGUGGCGAGUGGCGGACGGGUGAGGAAUACAUCGGAAUCUACUUUUUCGUGGGGGAUAACGUAGGGAAACUUACGCUAAUACCGCAUACGACCUGCGGGUGAAAGCAGGGGAUCUUCGGACCUUGCGCGAUUGAAUGAGCCGAUGUCGGAUUAGCUAGUUGGCGGGGUAAAGGCCCACCAAGGCGACGAUCCGUAGCUGGUCUGAGAGGAUGAUCAGCCACACUGGAACUGAGACACGGUCCAGACUCCUACGGGAGGCAGCAGUGGGGAAUAUUGGACAAUGGGCGCAAGCCUGACCCAGCCAUACCGCGUGGGUGAAGAAGGCCUUCGGGUUGUAAAGCCCUUUUGUUGGGAAAGAAAAGCAGCAGGUUAAUACCCCGCUGUUCUGACGGUACCCAAAGAAUAAGCACCGGCUAACUUCGUG
This 492-nucleotide ribosomal RNA is filed under the name uncultured bacterium. RNAcentral describes it as "partial 16S ribosomal RNA". It matches the Rfam family "Bacterial small subunit ribosomal RNA", at positions 29 to 507 of the family's 1533-position model. The record is from RNAcentral.